RNAcentral lists this ribosomal RNA (253 nucleotides) under Mediterraneibacter faecis JCM 15917. Its description in RNAcentral is "[Ruminococcus] faecis JCM 15917 partial 16S ribosomal RNA". It matches the Rfam family "Bacterial small subunit ribosomal RNA", at positions 524 to 776 of the family's 1533-position model. Lineage: Bacteria; Bacillati; Bacillota; Clostridia; Lachnospirales; Lachnospiraceae. The record is from RNAcentral.
UACGUAUGGUGCAAGCGUUAUCCGGAUUUACUGGGUGUAAAGGGAGCGUAGACGGAGUGGCAAGUCUGAUGUGAAAACCCGGGGCUCAACCCCGGGACUGCAUUGGAAACUGUCAAUCUGGAGUACCGGAGAGGUAAGCGGAAUUCCUAGUGUAGCGGUGGAAUGCGUAGAUAUUAGGAGGAACACCAGUGGCGAAGGCGGCUUACUGGACGGUAACUGACGUUGAGGCUCGAAAGCGUGGGGAGCAAACAGG